GAUGAACGCUGACAGAAUGCUUAACACAUCAGCAAAUGAUUGGUGGCGGACGGGUGAGUAACGCGUAAAGAACUUGCCUCACAGCUAGUGACAACAUUUGGAAACGAAUGCUAAUACCUCAUACUGUGAGAGAGCUUUGCGUCCCAUUAGAUAGUUGGAGAGGUAACGGCUCACCAAGGCGAUGAUGGGUAGCCGGCCUGAGAGGGUGAUCGGCCACAUGGGGACUGAGAGACGGCCCUUAUUCCUACGGGAGGCAGCAGUGGGGAAUAUUGGACAAGGGACCAAAGUCUGAUCAAGCAAUCCUGUGGGCACGAUGAAGUUUUCGGAAUGUAAAGUGCUUUCAGUUGGGAAGCGGUACCAAAAGAAGAAGUGACGGCUAAAUACGUGCCAGCAGCCGCGGUAAUUC
Molecule: ribosomal RNA, 406 nt
Filed under: uncultured bacterium
Lineage: Bacteria
Description: partial 16S ribosomal RNA
Rfam family: Bacterial small subunit ribosomal RNA
Source: RNAcentral